AUGUGUUCAAUAGGGUUGAUUUGAGAACAUAUGUAUGGGCAUAUUUUGUUUCUAACAAUUUAUUGUUUAUAAAUGUGACACAUAUGUUCUCAGGUCGCCCCUGUAGACUAUUC
Non-coding RNA from Solanum tuberosum (potato), 113 nucleotides. The record is from Rfam. Lineage: Eukaryota; Viridiplantae; Streptophyta; Magnoliopsida; Solanales; Solanaceae.